UCGAGAAUCUUCUGCAAUGGGCGCAAGCCUGACAGAGCGACGCCGCGUGGAGGAUGAAGGCCUUCGGGUUGUAAACUCCUGUCAGGGUUUAAGAACGCGGGCGGGCGAACAGUCCGUCCCGCUGACGAAGGACCCAGAGGAAGCCACAGCUAACUUCGUGCCAGCAGCUGCGGUAAUACGAAGGUGGCGAGCGUUGUUCGGAUUUACUGGGCAUAAAGGGCGCGUAGGCGGUUCCGCAAGCAGCGUGUGAAAUCCCACGGCUCAACCGUGGAACAGCGCGCUGGACUGCGGUUCUAGAGGACCGGAGGGGGGUGUGGAACUCUCGGUGUAGCGGUGAAAUGCGUAGAUAUCGAGAGGAACGCCGUUCGCGAAGGCAGGUUCUAGGACUAUACUGACGCUCAUGGACGACAGCUCGGGGAGCAAAAGGGAUUAGAGACCCCUGUAGUCCGAGCCGUAAACAUUCUUUGCUAGCUGGGUUGCUUUUUAGUGGUCC
This 493-nucleotide ribosomal RNA is filed under the name uncultured bacterium. Its description in RNAcentral is "bacterial SSU rRNA". It matches the Rfam family "Bacterial small subunit ribosomal RNA", at positions 355 to 844 of the family's 1533-position model. The record is from RNAcentral.